AUUCUAAUACGGAAGUACGGUGUCUCUACCCCUAACUUGUUAUAGCCUGCGUUUUUUAGCGGCUAUCGGGCAAAAUUAAUGGUGCUAGAGUUGCUUUCAAUAAUGUAUCAUACAUGAUAUCUCUAUACCAUUUUAAUCAAAAAAUAAAUUUUUCUUAUCAAUUGCAAAAAAUUUAUCUUUUUAAGAAAUUUUAUUAUAAUCAACACUUUAUCGCUCUUCUAAUUUUACCAAGUUAUGAAUAACGUUAUCAACGGUGAUUCGCAUUUUGAAGUUGUUGAUUUCAGUUUACCUCAGGAAAGAAAUGUGGCAAAAAUUCACCCCGUUAGUGAGCCGAAUGUCUGUUCAAAUUGUCUUCAAGAGCAAUCUCAACAAUUCAAUCCGGAUUGUCACCUCUGUUUCCAAUUACUGUUAGAGCCGUCUACAUCAAUUUCGGAGAUUUUUGCCAUUCUUAGGCAAUGGAACUCGGAGAGUCAAUCUCGAAUUCUAUUACUGACAGAAGAAAUUCUAAAGAGGGGAGCACAUAUAAAUGAUAGAGACGGUUUAACUGAUAUGACACUCCUACACUAUGCUUCUAGGUCAGGCGCGGAGGGUGUUGGAAAUGUUGAAACCUCCUGCCAAACGGUACAGUUGGUCUUGGAGAGGGGCGCCGACGUUUAUAUCCGGUGUAGGUGGACUAAUAUGGCAGCUAUACAUUAUGCGGCCUUUUUUGAUGUUGCACCAGUGCUUCAGUUAUUGCUAAAAGCUUCUGAUAGCAUCGAUAUUGAUGCUCCUUGUUCUAUAUACGAAAACGGUGGACCACUACAUAUAGCAGCAAUAAACUUAUCAAUUGAAUGCGCUCGUUUGUUAAUUGCUAUGGGAGCAGAUUGUACCCUUAAAGACGAUUUAGGUCGCAUUCCCUUCAAUUGCAUUCCUGAAACGACGUCGGAGGAUCUUAAAGAAAAGGCGGAACGUUUACGACUCCUCCUUCGAGAAGCCAUAGCCCAAAUGAAUGAUAGAAUCCCUUCUAAAGUUACACUACAAUCGCUAGGUUUAAAAAUUGGCGACAAAGUCAUUGUCGGUGGGGUAAAGUCGGGAACCCUCAGAUUCUGCGGAACUACGCAAUUCGCUCAAGGAAUUUGGGCCGGUAUUGAACUCGAUGAGCCAGUCGGAAAGAACGACGGAAGUAUCGGGGGGGUGACGUAUUUUCACUGCUCCAAAGAAUAUGGUAUUUUCGCGCCUAUAUCCAAGAUUACGAAAUACAACGACGAAGCAAGAACUAAUUCCGCUUGUUCCAAUCGUAAAUCGAGCUGUAGCAGUAAUGUGCAAAGUUCAAAAUUAGAUGUUUCGCAUGUGACGGCUAAAGUAGAUACAGGUUUAAGAGUGGCUAGGUCAUACCCUCCUACGGAUUGUUAUAAAGUCGGUGAGAGAGUGAUAGUAGCGGGAAAGAAAAGCGGCACUUUAAGGUUUUCCGGAACAACAGAAUUUGCUUCCGGUUGGUGGUACGGAAUUGAGUUAGAUCAUCCGCUCGGAAGAAAUGAUGGUAGCGUUAAUGGGAAAGCUUAUUUUGUUUGCAAGCCGAAUUUUGGGGUUUUCGCACCUUCGUCAAAAGUAAAGAGAAUUGAACAAAUAACAACGCUCAAAGAACAAAACACCGAUUUAGGAUGUGAGUGAAUUGAUUACCUAGUCCAUAUACACAGGAUACAAAUUUUAUUAUAUAUAUAAUUGACAACUAAUACCUUAAUUACACUGUUUACACUAAAAGAUUCAUUUCAAAUCAGUUAUUUAUUUAUUUUAAAAUUUUAUCUAUUUUUAGACCCUUGUAAAUUAGGUCACUUAUUUCUUUAUAGCUGCUAAUAACUCAAGUCAAAAUAUGAAUAGAGGCAGUACUAUCAAGGCCAGACCGUCCUCUUUCAAGUAAGUACGGGAAAAAUUCCCUUUUCCUUGAUAAAAAUAAAUUAACACCCCUUCGCCCCCGGGCAAGAGUAGACAUCUGAUGAUUAGCUUGCGUACGGUGCCGGAAAAGUAGGCCUACGCCCACUAGCUGUCCGCGUGCCCCAAAUUGCCGGUCAAAUUUAAAUUUUUAUUACUUCUUUAUUCUUUUGAACAGAUCGAGAAACCCUUUUGAUACAAGUGCCGGCGAGAUGAAAGUACAAGAAGGCAUGACUGUUUUAUGUAAUAACGAAUUAGGUAUAAAAAUAAACUUGUAGUUAUAUUACAAGUAAUUGAUUAUUUCAAAGAUUGACUAACUUUCGAAAAAUUCUACUCUAUAUUUUCUUCUCUUUUUGCAUAUUUAAUCAACUUAUUUAGCAACUGUAAGAUUUAUUGGAGACGUUCAUUUCGAAGAUGGACUAUGGUUAGGAGUUGAAAUGAGAAAGCUAUCUGGACGUAACGACGGAAGUAUUCAAGGUAGACGCUAUUUCACAUGCAAAUCGGGCCACGGACUUUUAGUUAGGCCUAAUAAAGUGACAGUCAGAGGAAUUAAUGCCGCCAAUUUACCGCCUUUUAAUGAACAAUCAAAUUCGAACAAAUAGACAUUUAAAUUUUUACACCUGUAGACAAUUGGGAAAUUAGCUACUGUAAUAUACAACAUAUCCGUUCAAUUCAGGUCCGUUUUUUUUGCCACCAAUUCCACGUUUGCUUAAAUAAGUAAAAAAAUCCAUGAAGAUGUUUAUUACUUUCUCUUUAUUUUUUACACUUUUUGUUUGUUUUAUAUUCGUAAUUAAUUUAUUAUUUUUUUCUAUAUUUUCUCAUAUUUUUCUCUUGUUGCCGUUUUUUCUUUCUUUCUCUUCUUUUGCAGUGUUUGUGAACGAAAAAAAUCAAACAAAAUAUUGAAACAAAAAUAUCGUUUAAUGCACUUUUCUCUCAUUUUUUAUCGUUUUUUAUAAAUUCAAUGAAUUAAAUAAUAAAGUGAAAAAGUUUAUUUAAAAAUUAGUUAAUCUCUUGAACUUUAGUUCCACCUAGACAACAGCAGAAUAAUGUUGAUGAAUUACUAUCAGUUUCCUUUUCAAUUUUACCGCCAAAACCGAGUUUAAUAUUUGAAAUUCUUCGAAUUUCACCAUUUUCCGCUUGUUUCUUUAAAUGAGGAGGUACGGAUUUAGGUCUUGAAUUAUCAUCUUCUUGGUCGUUUAAAUCUACCAAAGAUAUUGUUUUCUCUGUUAAAAUAGAUACUUUUGAUUCGGAACGAGUAGUUUUAAUAUUUUCCGUCAUAACUUCGUU
Molecule: unclassified non-coding RNA, 3195 nt
Filed under: Dimorphilus gyrociliatus
Lineage: Eukaryota; Metazoa; Annelida; Polychaeta; Dinophilidae
Description: dgyrCDS1459
Source: RNAcentral